AAACUUUCAACAACGGAUCUCUUGGUUCCGGCAUCGAUGAAGAACGCAGCGAAAUGCGAUACGUAAUGUGAAUUGCAAAUUCAGUGAAUCAUCGAGUCUUUGAACGCACAUUGCGCCCCCUGGUAUUCCGGAGGGCAUGCCUGUCCGAGCGUCAUU
RNAcentral lists this ribosomal RNA (156 nucleotides) under Penicillium camemberti. RNAcentral's name for it is "5.8S ribosomal RNA". It matches the Rfam family "5.8S ribosomal RNA". From Rfam's summary of the family: 5.8S ribosomal RNA (5.8S rRNA) is a component of the large subunit of the eukaryotic ribosome. It is transcribed by RNA polymerase I as part of the 45S precursor that also contains 18S and 28S rRNA. The record is from RNAcentral. Lineage: Eukaryota; Fungi; Ascomycota; Eurotiomycetes; Eurotiales; Aspergillaceae.